Molecule: long non-coding RNA, 244 nt
Organism: Eucalyptus grandis
Lineage: Eukaryota; Viridiplantae; Streptophyta; Magnoliopsida; Myrtales; Myrtaceae
Exons: 3
Source: RefSeq, a predicted model, not a curated record
GUGUGUCUUCCGAUCAGGAAAACUUACAGAAAGGUGCAAGAUUGAUUGUCUUUGAGUUCGAGGAUCACUCUGGGUUCACAUAAUUGUGUUAUAUUCCUUGCCGGGGGUCGGUUUAUGGAAGGGGGAAAGGAAUAUGGAUGCACAUCGGGCGGUUUUCUUAUGAUUCUACUGUAAAUAUCUUUCAUUUCAUCAACAUUUGAAUUCCGAAGAAUUGCACCAUAAGAAGUAAUAGUUAUUGUAACUC